AAAUCCAAAAGUCUGAGACCGAGGGGAAAAAAUGAAUAUAUUGAAUUUUUCAACUUUCUAUUUCGUUCCUCUUCAAAAAUAUUUAUUUAUUUUAGUAUCCUUUUCCAUGCUUCAAGAAAUUGUACCCCAUUACUAAUUAAUACUAAUGACUAAUUGAUACAGGUUUUAAAAUAUGUGAAAAGGCAAAAAAAAAACUCACUCUAUCGAACAGAAAUGGAAUUACAGGUAAACUUAUGGGACUCCUUUAUUAACCUUUUUCGUCAUCUAUUAACCUUUUAUUAUCAAGAAGUAUCAUAUUUUGCAUGGUUUCCAUGGGAUUAAAAUUUUGUUUUGAAAAAAAUAAACUAACAUAAAAGUUACGAUGAUAACAUCUACGAUAUCAUUCUUUUUGUGAUUUCUGUUGAAAUACUACUUUUUUUUUUUUUGUUGUUGAAAUGCCAUUUGAAUCACAAGUAUAUGUUUAUUGGUUUAUUUACAAAAUCAACAUGUUUUAAAAUUAUGUAUAAGUAUAGAAUUGUGAGAUAAAUUUGCAGCCCAAACUAGAUAACAAAAUUUUGAGUUUGAGUGGAUUUCUGGAAUUACGUGAUUUAGAGAGUUUCUGCAGUUACAUGUCCUUAAAUCAAAUUAUAUAUUAUUA
Molecule: long non-coding RNA, 637 nt
Filed under: Brassica napus (rape)
Lineage: Eukaryota; Viridiplantae; Streptophyta; Magnoliopsida; Brassicales; Brassicaceae
Description: long non-coding RNA (BNAP_LNC015738)
Source: RNAcentral